This 255-nucleotide ribosomal RNA is filed under the name uncultured bacterium. Its description in RNAcentral is "partial small subunit ribosomal RNA". It matches the Rfam family "Bacterial small subunit ribosomal RNA", at positions 26 to 285 of the family's 1533-position model. The record is from RNAcentral.
AGGACGAACGCUGGCGGCGUGCUUAACACAUGCAAGUCGAGCGGUAAGGCCCUUCGGGGUACACGAGCGGCGAACGGGUGAGUAACACGUGGGUGAUCUACCCUGCACUUCGGGAUAAGCCUGGGAAACUGGGUCUAAUACCGGAUAUGACCUCUCACCGCAUGGUGGGUGGUGGAAAGAUUUAUCGGUGCAGGAUGGGCCCGCGGCCUAUCAGCUUGUUGGUGGGGUAAUGGCCUACCAAGGCGACGACGGGUA